UACGGAGGGGGCUAUCGUUGUUCGGAAUUACUGGGCGUAAAGCGCACGUAGGCGGACUGGAAAGUCAGGGGUGAAAUCCCGGGGCUCAACCCCGGAACUGCCUUUGAAACUCCCAGUCUUGAGGUCGAGAGAGGUGAGUGGAAUUCCGAGUGUAGAGGUGAAAUUCGUAGAUAUUCGGAGGAACACCAGUGGCGAAGGCGGCUCACUGGCUCGAUACUGACGCUGAGGUGCGAAAGCGUGGGGAGAAAAAAGG
This 253-nucleotide ribosomal RNA is filed under the name uncultured bacterium. Its description in RNAcentral is "partial 16S ribosomal RNA". It matches the Rfam family "Bacterial small subunit ribosomal RNA", at positions 524 to 776 of the family's 1533-position model. The record is from RNAcentral.